RNAcentral lists this ribosomal RNA (490 nucleotides) under Ascaris sp. 3 YL-2012. RNAcentral describes it as "partial 12S ribosomal RNA". Lineage: Eukaryota; Metazoa; Nematoda; Chromadorea; Rhabditida; Ascarididae. The record is from RNAcentral.
AUCGGCUAGACUUUAUAAAUUUGAAAUCUAAUUGAUGUUAGUUUAGGGUUUUGUAAAUAUAUCUUGUUUUUUAGGGUGAAAUCGGGAAUUUUUAUUGAUAAUGCUCUAAUCUUUAAGAUUUGGUGAAUGAAUCAGAUUAGUACCUGAUUAAACAAAAAUUAAAAGAGCAGGAGUAAAGUUGUAUUUAAACUGUAAGAAUAUUGGCAGGUUUUUAAAUUAUCUUUGGAGGUUGAGUAGUAAUUGAGAGCCCUCAUUAACAACUUUUACUGUAGGCGCAUGUAUGAUCGUUUAUUUUAUUCUUAAGGAUUGUAAUUUUACAUUAACUAUUUUCUGUAAAAAUAGAUAAAUACUUGGUAUAUGUAAAAGAUUUAAUUUGACCUACAAUAUGCUAUCUUGUGGAUACUUUUUUAGUACAAGGUUGAAAAUGUAAAAGACAGUAAGUUUUUUUUUAUAUAAAGCUGAAGUUUAUUUUAAAACGGUACAAAACACC